GAUGAACGCUGGCGGCGUGCCUAAUACAUGCAAGUCGAGCGAACAGACGAGGAGCUUGCUCCUCUGACGUUAGCGGCGGACGGGUGAGUAACACGUGGAUAACCUACCUAUAAGACUGGGAUAACUUCGGGAAACCGGAGCUAAUACCGGAUAAUAUAUUGAACCGCAUGGUUCAAUAGUGAAAGACGGUUUUGCUGUCACUUAUAGAUGGAUCCGCGCCGCAUUAGCUAGUUGGUAAGGUAACGGCUUACCAAGGCAACGAUGCGUAGCCGACCUGAGAGGGGGAACGGCCACACGGGAACUGAGACACGGUCCAGACUCCUACGGGAGGCAGCAGUAGGGAAUCUUCCGCAAUGGGCGAAAGCCUGACGGAGCAACGCCGCGUGAGUGAUGAAGGUCUUCGGAUCGUAAAACUCUGUUAUUAGGGAAGAACAAAUGUGUAAGUAACUAUGCACGUCUUGACGGUACCUAAUCAGAAAGCCACGGCUAACUACGUG
RNAcentral lists this ribosomal RNA (497 nucleotides) under uncultured bacterium. RNAcentral describes it as "partial 16S ribosomal RNA". It matches the Rfam family "Bacterial small subunit ribosomal RNA", at positions 28 to 507 of the family's 1533-position model. The record is from RNAcentral.